GCCGCGUUCGUCUAGCGGUUAGGACAUCACCUUCUCAAGGUGAGUACAUGGGUUCGAUUCCCGUACGCGGUACCA
This 75-nucleotide transfer RNA is filed under the name Candidatus Peregrinibacteria bacterium. RNAcentral's name for it is "tRNA-Glu". It matches the Rfam family "tRNA". Rfam says of the family: Transfer RNA (tRNA) molecules are approximately 80 nucleotides in length. Their secondary structure includes four short double-helical elements and three loops (D, anti-codon, and T loops). Lineage: Bacteria; Candidatus Peregrinibacteriota. RNAcentral also lists the same sequence under 1 other name. The record is from RNAcentral.